CACAGGACCAGUCCGUUCUCUUGAGUCCUUUAAACAUUAGGUCAGUAAAAAUAUCUGAAAUAAGAUCUGAAUGCUGAAGAAAUGUCAAAGAACACCUUAGUAUGUCCAAAUGCUUCAGAAUAUAUUUGCAUUCAUUUUGCAACAUAUUUAACUAGUGUAGAAAGAUAUCGUCAGACUUUUCUACCACUGAAUGCUUCAAAGUUUACUCUCUCUGUUCCUGAUACACAUUGAGUCAUCAACCAAGCAAGAAUGCUGAAAAUAGAUAUGAUACUGAAACAAAUUGAUGAGACCUAAUCUGCAGCUUCAGCAGCAAAUUCAGUUAAAGAUGGAAAAAAAGAGCCCAACUCACAUAAAAACAACAGGUCGAAACAAAUCUAUCAGGAUUGGUCUACUAGACUGCCUGUUAUUAGUCUGCGAACUGCAGUGGACAUAGACUAUUACUUCAUAAUAAUUUCAGAGAAAGAGGCAUCCUACAUGUAGAACCAGAAAAUAAAUUAUAGAAAACCCCUGGCUAGACAAAUAAAGAUUACAAA
Long non-coding RNA from Pipra filicauda (Wire-tailed manakin), 533 nucleotides. RefSeq lists it as uncharacterized. Lineage: Eukaryota; Metazoa; Chordata; Aves; Passeriformes; Pipridae. The transcript is spliced from 4 exons. The record is from RefSeq and is a predicted model, not a curated record.